RNAcentral lists this ribosomal RNA (253 nucleotides) under uncultured bacterium. RNAcentral describes it as "partial 16S ribosomal RNA". It matches the Rfam family "Bacterial small subunit ribosomal RNA", at positions 524 to 776 of the family's 1533-position model. The record is from RNAcentral.
UACGGAGGGUGCAAGCGUUAUCCGGAUUCACUGGGUUUAAAGGGUGCGUAGGUGGGCAAGUAAGUCAGUGGUGAAAUCUCCGGGCUUAACCCGGAAACUGCCAUUGAUACUAUUUGUCUUGAAUACUGUGGAGGUCAGCGGAAUAUGUCAUGUAGCGGUGAAAUGCUUAGAUAUGACAUAGAACACCAAUUGCGAAGGCAGCUUGCUAAACAAAUAUUGACGCUGAGGCACGAAAGCGUGGGGAUCAAACAGG